This 1213-nucleotide ribosomal RNA is filed under the name Leuconostoc mesenteroides. RNAcentral's name for it is "bacterial SSU rRNA". It matches the Rfam family "Bacterial small subunit ribosomal RNA", at positions 262 to 1467 of the family's 1533-position model. Lineage: Bacteria; Bacillati; Bacillota; Bacilli; Lactobacillales; Lactobacillaceae. The record is from RNAcentral.
GGCCUACCAAGACAAUGAUGCAUAGCCGAGUUGAGAGACUGAUCGGCCACAUUGGGACUGAGACACGGCCCAAACUCCUACGGGAGGCUGCAGUAGGGAAUCUUCCACAAUGGGCGAAAGCCUGAUGGAGCAACGCCGCGUGUGUGAUGAAGGCUUUCGGGUCGUAAAGCACUGUUGUAUGGGAAGAACAGCUAGAAUAGGAAAUGAUUUUAGUUUGACGGUACCAUACCAGAAAGGGACGGCUAAAUACGUGCCAGCAGCCGCGGUAAUACGUAUGUCCCGAGCGUUAUCCGGAUUUAUUGGGCGUAAAGCGAGCGCAGACGGUUUAUUAAGUCUGAUGUGAAAGCCCGGAGCUCAACUCCGGAAUGGCAUUGGAAACUGGUUAACUUGAGUGCAGUAGAGGUAAGUGGAACUCCAUGUGUAGCGGUGGAAUGCGUAGAUAUAUGGAAGAACACCAGUGGCGAAGGCGGCUUACUGGACUGCAACUGACGUUGAGGCUCGAAAGUGUGGGUAGCAAACAGGAUUAGAUACCCUGGUAGUCCACACCGUAAACGAUGAACACUAGGUGUUAGGAGGUUUCCGCCUCUUAGUGCCGAAGCUAACGCAUUAAGUGUUCCGCCUGGGGAGUACGACCGCAAGGUUGAAACUCAAAGGAAUUGACGGGGACCCGCACAAGCGGUGGAGCAUGUGGUUUAAUUCGAAGCAACGCGAAGAACCUUACCAGGUCUUGACAUCCUUUGAAGCUUUUAGAGAUAGAAGUGUUCUCUUCGGAGACAAAGUGACAGGUGGUGCAUGGUCGUCGUCAGCUCGUGUCGUGAGAUGUUGGGUUAAGUCCCGCAACGAGCGCAACCCUUAUUGUUAGUUGCCAGCAUUCAGAUGGGCACUCUAGCGAGACUGCCGGUGACAAACCGGAGGAAGGCGGGGACGACGUCAGAUCAUCAUGCCCCUUAUGACCUGGGCUACACACGUGCUACAAUGGCGUAUACAACGAGUUGCCAACCCGCGAGGGUGAGCUAAUCUCUUAAAGUACGUCUCAGUUCGGAUUGUAGUCUGCAACUCGACUACAUGAAGUCGGAAUCGCUAGUAAUCGCGGAUCAGCACGCCGCGGUGAAUACGUUCCCGGGUCUUGUACACACCGCCCGUCACACCAUGGGAGUUUGUAAUGCCCAAAGCCGGUGGCCUAACCUUUAGGAAGGAGCCGUCUAAGGCAGAC